AUGUCCCAGUGUCCCUAUGCUCCUGUGUGCUCGGGUGACUGGACUUUGACAGCAGGACGGCACAACUGCGGCGGCUACAAACCAUCCCCAGGUGUGAAGUGUGAGACACUGACACAGCCAACCUCUGUGACUGUGCAGCCAGGACACACUCUCACCAUCCCCUGUACUGUCUCAUAUGAUGUUACGCUUUCUGGUGGCUACUUCACAGCAUGGAUCAGACAGCCUGCUGGGAAAGCAAUGGAGUAUAUUGGAUAUCACUGUGCUGGAUGUACUAUUGUACUCAAAGAUUCACUGAAGAACAAGUUCAGUAUAAAUGUAGAUUCGUCCAGUAACACAGUGACUCUGAAUGGACAGAACAUGCAGCCUGGAGACACUGCAGUGUACUACUGUGCCAGACAACGCUCUGCACAGUGA
Molecule: non-coding RNA, 414 nt
Organism: Boleophthalmus pectinirostris (great blue-spotted mudskipper)
Lineage: Eukaryota; Metazoa; Chordata; Actinopteri; Gobiiformes; Gobiidae
Source: the annotation of a RefSeq genome assembly